GAGGUAACGGCUCACCAAGGCGACGACGGGUAGCCGGCCUGAGAGGGCGACCGGCCACACUGGGACUGAGACACGGCCCAGACUCCUACGGGAGGCAGCAGUGGGGAAUAUUGCACAAUGGGCGAAAGCCUGACGCAGCAACGCCGCGUGAGGGAUGACGGCCUUCGGGUUGUAAACCUCUUUCAGCAGGGAAGAAGCGAAAGUGACGGUACCUGCAGAAGAAGCACCGGCUAACUACGUGCCAGCAGCCGCGGUAAUACGUAGGGUGCAAGCGUUGUCCGGAUUUAUUGGGCGUAAAGAGCUCGUAGGCGGUUAGUCACGUCGGAUGUGAAAACCCGGAGCUUAACUCCGGGCCUGCAUUCGAUACGGGCUGACUAGAGUGUUGUAGGGGAGACUGGAACUCCUGGUGUAGCGGUGAAAUGCGCAGAUAUCAGGAAGAACACCGGUGGCGAAGGCGGGUCUCUGGGCAACUACUGACGCUGAGGAGCGAAAGCGUGGGGAGCAAACAGGAUUAGAUACCCUGAUAGUCCACGCCGUAAACGGUGGGCGCUAGGUGUGGGGACCAUUCCACGGUCUCCGUGCCGCAGCUAACGCAUUAAGCGCCCCGCCUGGGGAG
Molecule: ribosomal RNA, 616 nt
Filed under: uncultured bacterium
Lineage: Bacteria
Description: bacterial SSU rRNA
Rfam family: Bacterial small subunit ribosomal RNA
Source: RNAcentral